RNAcentral lists this ribosomal RNA (523 nucleotides) under uncultured bacterium. RNAcentral describes it as "partial 16S ribosomal RNA". It matches the Rfam family "Bacterial small subunit ribosomal RNA", at positions 28 to 523 of the family's 1533-position model. The record is from RNAcentral.
GACGAACGCUGGCGGCGUGCCUAAUACAUGCAAGUCGAACGCUUUUUCUUUCACCGGAGCUUGCUCCACCGAAAGAAAAAGAGUGGCGAACGGGUGAGUAACACGUGGGUAACCUGCCCAUCAGAAGGGGAUCACACUUGGAAACAGGUGCUAAUACCGUAUAACACUAUUUUCCGCAUGGAAGAAAGUUGAAAGGCGCUUUUGCGUCAAUGAUGGAUGGACCCGGGGUGCAUUAGCUAGUUGGUGAGGUAACGGCUCACCAAGGCAAGGAUGCAUAGCCGACCUGAGAGGGUGAUCGGCCACACUGGGACUGAGACACGGCCCAGACUCCUACGGGAGGCAGCAGUAGGGAAUCUUCGGCAAUGGACGAAAGUCUGACCGAGCAACGCCGCGUGAGUGAAGAAGGUUUUCGGAUCGUAAAACUCUGUUGUUAGAGAAGAACAAGCAUGAGAGUAAAACGUUCAUCCCUUGACGGUAUCUAACCAGAAAGCCACGGCUAACUACGUGCCAGCCGCCGCAGUAA